UUAGUUGGUGGGUAAAGGCCUACCAAGACAAUGAUGCAUAGCCGAGUUGAAAGACUGAUCGGCCACAUUGGGACUGAGACACGGCCCAAAUUCCUACGGGAGGCUGCAGUAGGGAAUCUUCCACAAUGGGCGAAAGCCUGAUGGAGCAACGCCGCGUGUGUGAUGAAGGCUUUCGGGUCGUAAAGCACUGUUGUAUGGGAAGAAAAGUUAAGGUAGGGAAUGACCUUAGCCUGACGGUACCAUACCAGAAAGGGACGGCUAAAUACGUGCCAGCAGCCGCGGUAAUACGUAUGUCCCGAGCGUUAUCCGGAUUUAUUGGGCGUAAAGCGAGCGCAGACGGUUGGUUAAGUCUGAUGUGAAAGCCCGGAGCUCAACUCCGGAAAGGCAUUGGAAACUGGUUAACUUGAGUGCAGUAGAGGUAAGUGGAACUCCAUGUGUAGCGGUGGAAUGCGUAGAUAUAUGGAAGAACACCAGCGGCGAAGGCGGCUUACUGGACUGUAACUGACGUUGAGGCUCGAAAGUGUGGGUAGCAAACAGGAUUAGAUACCCUGGUAGUCCACACCGUAAACGAUGAACACUAGGUGUUAGGAGGUUUCCGCCUCUUAGUGCCGAAGCUAACGCAUUAAGUGUUCCGCCUGGGGAGUACGACCGCAAGGUUGAAACUCAAAGGAAUUGACGGGGACCCGCACAAGCGGUGGAGCAUGUGGUUUAAUUCGAAGCAACGCGAAGAACCUUACCAGGUCUUGACAUCCUUUGAAGCUUUUAGAAAUAGAAGUGUUCUCUUCGGAGACAAAGUGACAGGUGGUGCAUGGUCGUCGUCAGCUCGUGUCGUGAGAUGUUGGGUUAAGUCCCGCAACGAGCGCAACCCUUAUUGUUAGUUGCCAGCAUUCAGAUGGGCACUCUAGCGAGACUGCCGGUGACAAACCGGAGGAAGGCGGGGACGACGUCAGAUCAUCAUGCCCCUUAUGACCUGGGCUACACACGUGCUACAAUGGCGUAUACAACGAGUUGCCAACCUGCGAAGGUGAGCUAAUCUCUUAAAGUACGUCUCAGUUCGGACUGCAGUCUGCAACUCGACUGCACGAAGUCGGAAUCGCUAGUAAUCGCGGAUCAGCACGCCGCGGUGAAUACGUUCCCGGGUCUUGUACACACCGCCCGUCACACCAUGGAAGUUUGUAAUGCCCAAAGCCGGUGGCCUAACCGUAAGGAGGGAACC
Molecule: ribosomal RNA, 1216 nt
Filed under: Leuconostoc carnosum
Lineage: Bacteria; Bacillati; Bacillota; Bacilli; Lactobacillales; Lactobacillaceae
Description: bacterial SSU rRNA
Rfam family: Bacterial small subunit ribosomal RNA
Source: RNAcentral